AUUGAACGCUUGCGGCAGGCUUAACCCAUGCAAGUCGAGCGAGCGGCGGACGGGUUAGUAAUGUCUGGGAAACUGCCUGAUGGAGGGGGAUAACUACUGGGAACGGUAGCUAAUACCGCAUACUAUCAGAUGUGCCACGAUGGGAUGAGCUUGUAGGUGGGGUAAUGGCUCACCUAGGCGACGAUCCCUAGCUGGUCUGUGAGGAUGACCAGCCACACUGGAACUGAGACACGGGCCAGACUCCUACGGGAGGCAGCAGUGGGGAAUAUUGCACAAUGGGCGCAAGCCUGAUGCAGCCAGGCCGCGUGUGUGAAGAAGGCCUUCGGGUUGUAAAGCACUUUCAGCGAGGAGGCGUUACUCGCAGAAGAAGCACCGGCUAACUCCGUGCCAGCAGCCGCGGUAAUAC
This 406-nucleotide ribosomal RNA is filed under the name uncultured bacterium. RNAcentral's name for it is "partial 16S ribosomal RNA". It matches the Rfam family "Bacterial small subunit ribosomal RNA", at positions 30 to 526 of the family's 1533-position model. The record is from RNAcentral.